UGGUUCUCAGCUACUGCUGUUGUUCCCUUUUACAGAUGUGGACUAGUCACCGUGGGCCCAGGGCUGCGCAGUUUGUGCGUGUUGGAACCACAUCCUGACCUAAGUCAGUUGCCCAGACUGUCCCUCCCGGAGGAAAGCACAAAGGGACAGCAUGCCGCGCAAACAUCUGUACGAACCAUCAGAACCAUCCUGGCUGUAAAAUGCAGUGAGGCCAUGCCAGAGCAUCCCAAGGGAAGGUCAGUCCUGUCGACACACAUCUAUUAGAACCUUAACUAAAUUCUUAGCUCCCUGAGGACAGGGACUAGUUCUGAUAUGUGUUUGUCACUCUGGGUUUCCAGCUCUAGAUGGACGCCUUAUAUACAGUAGGCACUUAUUAAAUGUUUGCUGACGGUCGUCCUGACUUCCCAAAUAAGUUUUUGCAAUGCUUCUUCCAAAGCUCUCCCUUUUCUUUUGUAAAGAUUGUGGUACCAUGCUGAUUUUUCCAAUUAGUACAGUAUCU
Molecule: long non-coding RNA, 499 nt
Filed under: Ursus americanus (American black bear)
Lineage: Eukaryota; Metazoa; Chordata; Mammalia; Carnivora; Ursidae
Description: lncRNA (ENSUAMG00000026989.1)
Source: RNAcentral